RNAcentral lists this ribosomal RNA (1259 nucleotides) under Salmonella enterica. Its description in RNAcentral is "partial 23S ribosomal RNA". It matches the Rfam family "Bacterial large subunit ribosomal RNA", at positions 1379 to 2623 of the family's 2925-position model. The record is from RNAcentral. Lineage: Bacteria; Pseudomonadati; Pseudomonadota; Gammaproteobacteria; Enterobacterales; Enterobacteriaceae.
GAGUCGACCCCUAAGGCGAGGCCGAAAGGCGUAGUCGAUGGGAAACGGGUUAAUAUUCCCGUACUUGGUGUUACUGCGAAGGGGGGACGGAGAAGGCUAUGUUGGCCGGGCGACGGUUGUCCCGGUUUAAGCGUGUAGGUGUGUGUUCCAGGUAAAUCCGGUUCACUUUAACACUGAGGCGUGAUGACGAGGCACCACGGUGCUGAAGCAACAAAUGCCCUGCUUCCAGGAAAAGCCUCUAAGCAUCAGGUAACAUCAAAUCGUACCCCAAACCGACACAGGUGGUCAGGUAGAGAAUACCAAGGCGCUUGAGAGAACUCGGGUGAAGGAACUAGGCAAAAUGGUGCCGUAACUUCGGGAGAAGGCACGCUGACACGUAGGUGAAGUGAUUUACUCAUGGAGCUGAAGUCAGUCGAAGAUACCAGCUGGCUGCAACUGUUUAUUAAAAACACAGCACUGUGCAAACACGAAAGUGGACGUAUACGGUGUGACGCCUGCCCGGUGCCGGAAGGUUAAUUGAUGGGGUCAGCGCAAGCGAAGCUCCUGAUCGAAGCCCCGGUAAACGGCGGCCGUAACUAUAACGGUCCUAAGGUAGCGAAAUUCCUUGUCGGGUAAGUUCCGACCUGCACGAAUGGCGUAAUGAUGGCCAGGCUGUCUCCACCCGAGACUCAGUGAAAUUGAACUCGCUGUGAAGAUGCAGUGUACCCGCGGCAAGACGGAAAGACCCCGUGAACCUUUACUAUAGCUUGACACUGAACAUUGAGCCUUGAUGUGUAGGAUAGGUGGGAGGCUUUGAAGCGUGGACGCCAGUCUGCGUGGAGCCGACCUUGAAAUACCACCCUUUAAUGUUUGAUGUUCUAACGUGGACCCGUAAUCCGGGUUGCGGACAGUGUCUGGUGGGUAGUUUGACUGGGGCGGUCUCCUCCUAAAGAGUAACGGAGGAGCACGAAGGUUGGCUAAUCCUGGUCGGACAUCAGGAGGUUAGUGCAAUGGCAUAAGCCAGCUUGACUGCGAGCGUGACGGCGCGAGCAGGUGCGAAAGCAGGUCAUAGUGAUCCGGUGGUUCUGAAUGGAAGGGCCAUCGCUCAACGGAUAAAAGGUACUCCGGGGAUAACAGGCUGAUACCGCCCAAGAGUUCAUAUCGACGGCGGUGUUUGGCACCUCGAUGUCGGCUCAUCACAUCCUGGGGCUGAAGUAGGUCCCAAGGGUAUGGCUGUUCGCCAUUUAAAGUGGUACGCGAGCUGGGUUUAGAACGUCGUG